AGGGAAUGGUCGGGAUAGCUCAGUGGUAGAGCUAGAUGACUGAAAAUUCCUCGUUACAGUUUCAAUUAUA
RNAcentral lists this transfer RNA (70 nucleotides) under Persicaria hydropiper. RNAcentral's name for it is "partial tRNA-Phe". The record is from RNAcentral. Lineage: Eukaryota; Viridiplantae; Streptophyta; Magnoliopsida; Caryophyllales; Polygonaceae.